Molecule: ribosomal RNA, 393 nt
Filed under: uncultured archaeon
Lineage: Archaea
Description: bacterial SSU rRNA
Rfam family: Archaeal small subunit ribosomal RNA
Source: RNAcentral
GACUAGGGACCGGAAGAGGUGAGGGGUACUCCAGGGGUAGGAGUGAAAUCCUGUAAUCCUUGGGGGACCACCUGUGGCGAAGGCGCCUCACCAGAACGGCUCCGACAGUGAGGGACGAAAGCUGGGGGAGCAAACCGGAUUAGAUACCCGGGUAGUCCCAGCCGUAAACGAUGUGCGUUAGGUGUAUCGGUGACCACGAGUCACCGAGGUGCCGAAGAGAAAUCGUGAAACGUACCGCCUGGGAAGUACGGUCGCAAGGCUGAAACUUAAAGGAAUUGGCGGGGGAGCACCACAACAGGUGGAGCCUGCGGUUUAAUCGGACUCAACGCCGGGAAACUCACCAGAUAAGACAGCUGAAUGAUAGUCGGGCUGAAGACUCUACUUGACUAGCUG